ACGGCGACCGCCCCGGCGGCGCCAGCUGGGCCGCGGCGUGAAUGGGUGAUGUCACGCGGCCGGCGCCGGCCGGUCUGGACUGCGGGGCCGAGCCGCCGGCCGGGGGAGCCCGGGAAAGCGGGGUGUGGUGGGGGGUGGAAAGGUUUGAUGCCGCCCCUCCGCUCCCCGCUCGCUCCCGUCCAACCUAAGGCGUUCUGUGAUUUUAAAAUCUGUUCGGUCGCUGCAGAUCCAAUCUGCGGCAAGGUGAGGGCUCAGCCCCUGCCACAGUCUGCACGCGCCUCGCAGCCGGGUGACACAUCAGAGCGGUGGCACUGCCCGUGCACACAGCUGCUCGAUACGGUGUUUAAGCAACCCGCAGCCGUUCAGAUGGCAGUGGGAUUUUAACGCUGCAUGAUUCUGGUGGCCGCUUAACGGAAACGGGUCUGGGAGCAGCCCCUGACACCGGCCGCCUCCAUCAGGUUUCAAGCCUCUGCAAGAUCCUGACUGCUAGGGAACAAAGGCUGGUAUGCGGUUCCCUCAAAGCACAGCGCUUUUCCAAACACACGCAAAUACAUAAGUGAAGCAAAAUGCACUGACGACCUUAGAAAUAAUCUCCUACUAUUCUACAGUUUCUUCUGCCGGAUGGAAGAGAAGAAUGAGGAAGAACUCUUCUGUUACUAAGCUCUUGGUUGAUCCUCAUGUGAUAUGGCAACAGGAACUCCACACCAAGUACAUGAAUGGAUAAUAAGGUUACACAGCAUUCUGCUCAUCUUGGAAGGGCACGGGGUGGCCCAUCAGCAACUGAAGUACAGGGGUUUGAAGGCACCUUGAAAAGCCUCCCCCCAGCAGCACCAGACCUGCAUUUCUAGUUAUGUCUAGCUUCUCUUCCCAGUGACGACACUGGUGUGGCUUGAACCCCGUUGACAAGCAGUGUGUUCUAUAGUGUUUUAAGUAUUGGUCAGGCUGUCACAACAGUGAAAUGCAGAACUGUAAAUUAAUAUUUGGCGAGCAGGUGAUAUCUGAAAGUGACGCUGACACAUAGAAGUACUCUGACAACCAAACGACCACUGCUGAGAAACAUCAAGGCAUUUGCAUCACAGCAGAGAAGGCAGAGGUGCUUCGGCCUGCCUUGGAUGUCCUUCUGCUGUGGGAAAGGCUGUCUUUACAGUCGGGGAAAGAGAAGUGAUUUUGCCUUUUAAUUCAAAAAUGAGCCCUAAAGAUUUUGAGGAAUUCCUUAGAGCACUCACAGAGAUCAAGUAACAAAUGUGGUACUAAUAGCUUUCAAAAUGUAAAAUGUUGCAUAGGGGUAAAGGACCGCUAUUGUUUCUUCUGGAUUUUUCUGUGGCUUGAACUUAGACUGCUUUUGCUGAUGAAGCUGUUUGGGUCUCCUGCAAAUAAAUACCAGUAUCAUUGGUGUAAUGAUAACAUAUGCAGAUGAGCAUGUACGUAUCCAGAUACUUAUUUGAUUUAGGUCGAUCUGCUCAUUGUCCCCGUGGGCUGUAUUAUUUUUGUGAUUAUAGGGCCCUUAAUGCAAACUCAUAACAAACAGAAAAAUAAUAUGAGGCCAUAUCAUACCAUCAGUUUUCAGGCAGAUUAGCUGAGGAUUUCUGUCUAUAAACAAAGGGCAUGGCAUUGCACAUAAAUCCGAUCUAACUCUACACAAAAUAAAAUUAAAGUUAAGACUCCAAAUUCAA
This is a long non-coding RNA of Numida meleagris (helmeted guineafowl), 1673 nucleotides long. RefSeq lists it as uncharacterized. The transcript has 4 exons. The record is from RefSeq and is a predicted model, not a curated record. NCBI's taxonomy places the organism in Eukaryota, Metazoa, Chordata, Aves, Galliformes, Numididae.